This is a long non-coding RNA of Cornus florida, 1494 nucleotides long. RefSeq lists it as uncharacterized. The record is from RefSeq and is a predicted model, not a curated record. NCBI's taxonomy places the organism in Eukaryota, Viridiplantae, Streptophyta, Magnoliopsida, Cornales, Cornaceae. The transcript is spliced from 2 exons.
AUGGUACGUGGCGGGACCCACUAAAAUAUUUGGCCAAAGUAAGAUGAUUUUUCUGACACCUAAUUGGGGCUGAUGGUGAGCAGUAGGUGGAUGUUGUGCCUUUAAAUAAGGUGUUUUGGGUCCGUGUGAGCUACGGAGAAAAAUUAGAGAAAUAUAUAGAGGCAAAGAGAGCCAAAAGUUUGAAGCUUGGAUGAAUAAUUAUCUUUCAGUAUAGAAUUUUUUUUAUAUCUUGAAUAGUUUGGGGGUAAUUGUGCUUUAAAUAUUUUGUUUAUUGUUAUUUUACUCAAAUUACAUAUAUGUAUUGCCUAAUUUUUAUGAAAUUUUCUUAAAAUUCUUGUUAUAGUUUUUCCUAUUAGGACUUUUCGUCUCAUCAUCUUUCAGUUUCAGGUGAACGUGGAUUGUUAGUUUCGGCUUAGGUGGAAGAGUUGGCAGUUGCGAAUUUAUUUUAAUUAUUUGGAGAAUUUUGUAUAUAAAUUUGAGAACUAAUUUUUGUAUAAAUAAGGGUAUUUUUUUUUUUAUAUCAUCCUGGAAGUAUGUUGAUGUAUUUGUAAUUUGAAAGAAUUGAGGAAUUUUAUUAGAAUUUUGGGGUGGUUACAGAAGUGAUUGAGGAUGCUAUAAAGCUUAUGUAAUCGCCUGAUCUGAGGUCUGGUUGGGGGAUUCAUGUAGUUCAGGAGAUCAAGCUUUUGGCCAAGAAAGAAGAUCAAGAGGCGUUGGAUUCAGCUAUCGACGAGCUUGUUCAGCUGGGUAUGCAAAGAGAAAUUGAGGACGGUGAAGUGACCGGAGAUGAUGGAGCACGGUGGUGCUGUUUCUAGUGGCUGUUGGAGACGGUGAAGGACGGCGAGCUCGGGACGCCGUUAGUGAUGGUGCAACAAUUUGUUCUGGUGCAGAGAGUGUGAAUUUGUGCUUACCGCGAGCAAGGAUGAACAGCGAGCAGCAAGGACGAACGGUCGGCGGUGUGAUGAGGAAUGCAAAUGCUGGACAGCAAAGGUACAAUAUGAGAGAGCUUAAGAAAGCAAUUGCAACGGCAACAGGGAAGAAGAAGGAUUGUGUGUGUUUCAUUGAAGUGAAAAUUGAUAAAGGAUGAUACAAGCAAAGAGCUGCUUGCAUGGGACCUAGAAUUUCUGCGGCCAAUAUGGUUCUUAGCAUUCAGUACCAUCCCACUCUCCUAUUAAGAGAACAUUUAAACAAAAACCUUUAAUAUUCUUUAUUAUCAGUUAUUAUGUUUUCCAACUAUGUGAAUAGGCAUCUAAUUUGUAAAGUAUUACAUAGUGCUCUUAGUUGAAUGAAAUUAAGAAUUGGAACUACACUGCGCUGGUGGAUGCUAUGCACAAUGGUGAAUGCAAAUGCUGGACAACAAAGGUUAGAGAGAGAGAGAGUUAAACAGCAUUUACCUUCCUUAUUAUGCAUAGCAUCCAUCGGUGUGUAGUUCCAAUUAUUAAUUUUAUUGUAAUAAAUGGAUUUAUUUUUUCAACUUUAUGAUAGGUUUUUCAUAAA